CCUACGAGGGGCAGCCGUGGGGAAUAUUGGACCAUGGGGGGAACCCUGAUCCAGCGACGCCGCGCGAGUGAAGAAGUAUUUCGGUAUGUAAAGCUCUAUCAGCAGGGAAGAAAAUGACGGUACCUGACUAAGAAGCCCCGGCUAACUACGUGCCAGCAGCCGCGGUAAUACGUAGGUGGCAAGCGUUAUCCGGAUUUACUGGGUGUAAAGGGAGCGUAGACGGUGCAGCAAGUCUGAUGUGAAAUGCCGGGGCUUAACCCCGGAACUGCUUUGGAAACUGUGCAGCUAGAGUGCAGGAGAGGUAAGUGGAAUUCCUAGUGUAGCGGUGAAAUGCGUAGAUAUUAGGAGGAACACCAGUGGCGAAGGCGGCUUACUGGACUGUAACUGACGUUGAGGCUCGAAAGCGUGGGGAGCAAACAGGAUUAGAUACCCCAGUAGUC
This 440-nucleotide ribosomal RNA is filed under the name uncultured bacterium. Its description in RNAcentral is "partial 16S ribosomal RNA". It matches the Rfam family "Bacterial small subunit ribosomal RNA", at positions 338 to 795 of the family's 1533-position model. The record is from RNAcentral.